GACAAAUGAUUAAAAGGUCAAAACUGCCAUACUUUCAUGGUUUGCAAUCGGACGCUGAUGUGCUCUCCUUCUUGGCUGGUAGUUCUUCUCAUUGGUUGUACACAAAGACACAUAUAGAUGGCCAGUCAACAAUAUUAGAAAGGGAGGAUGAUACGGUCACGACAGGGAUUUGGGACAACUAAAUGUGAAGAAACCUUCAGACAUUGCUAAUUGAUGGAGUGAAAUUGGCAGGGCAGAGAUUUGGGGGAAGCUAAUUGAGCAGCGUGUUCUUCAUAGAAGACAUGAGGACAAGGAAAUGGCCUAGCUGGUGACCAUUGGAGAUGUAAAAUAGCCAAAAUUGUUGUUGUCGUUGGACCAAGGAGAAAGAGGAGCAGCGAUGGGGGUUCCGAUGUGCCAUCGCCGCUACGCCCAUUGCCAGCGCCUAGCAAGAUUUUGGCGUUUGGCAUACGGAGCACGAUCUGCCGCAUUUCCAUGGCAUUGAGACGAGGUGUGUGAGAAUAAUCCAAAGAGCCUGCACUACAUAAUUAAUCUAUGUGAUACUUUAAUCUGCAAGCUCUAGGUGAGUACCUACUAUAUUUGAUUUUUUCAUGUGAAU
Molecule: long non-coding RNA, 595 nt
Organism: Lolium rigidum
Lineage: Eukaryota; Viridiplantae; Streptophyta; Magnoliopsida; Poales; Poaceae
Exons: 7
Source: RefSeq, a predicted model, not a curated record